UACGAAGGGUGCAAGCGUUACUCGGAGUUACUGGGCGUAAAGCGUGCGUAGGUGGUGAGUUAAGUCUGAUGUGAAAUCCCCGGGCUCAACCUGGGAAUGGCAUUGGAUACUGGCUCGCUAGAGUGCGGUAGAGGGUGGUGGAAUUCCCGGUGUAGCAGUGAAAUGCGUAGAGAUCGGGAGGAACAUCUGUGGCGAAGGCGGCCACCUGGACCAACACUGACACUGAGGCACGAAAGCGUGGGGAGCAAACAGG
RNAcentral lists this ribosomal RNA (253 nucleotides) under uncultured bacterium. RNAcentral's name for it is "partial 16S ribosomal RNA". It matches the Rfam family "Bacterial small subunit ribosomal RNA", at positions 524 to 776 of the family's 1533-position model. The record is from RNAcentral.